AUACGGAGGAUCCGAGCGUUAUCCGGAUUUAUUGGGUUUAAAGGGAGCGUAGGUGGAUAGUUAAGUCAGUUGUGAAAGUUUGCGGCUCAACCGUAAAAUUGCAGUUGAUACUGGCUGUCUUGAGUACAGUAGAGGUGGGCGGAAUUCGUGGGGUAGCGGGGAAAUGCUUAGAUAUCACGAAGAACUCCGAUUGCGAAGGCAGCUCACUGGACUGCAACUGACACUGAUGCUCGAAAGUGUGGGUAUCAAACAGGAUUAGAUACCCUGGUAGUCCACACAGUAAACGAUGAAUACUCGCUGUUUGCGAUAUACAGUAAGCGGCCAAGCGAAAGCAUUAAGUAUUCCACCUGGGGAGUACGCCGGCAACGGUGAAACUCAAAGGAAUUGACGGGG
RNAcentral lists this ribosomal RNA (393 nucleotides) under uncultured bacterium. RNAcentral's name for it is "partial 16S ribosomal RNA". It matches the Rfam family "Bacterial small subunit ribosomal RNA", at positions 523 to 918 of the family's 1533-position model. The record is from RNAcentral.